AACGCGAAGAACCUUACCUACCCUUGACAUGCUCGGAAUCUGCUAGAGAUAGCGGAGUGCCUUCGGGAGCCGAGACACAGGUGCUGCAUGGCUGUCGUCAGCUCGUGUCGUGAGAUGUUGGGUUAAGUCCCGUAACGAGCGCAACCCCUAUUCUUAGUUGCCAACAGGUAAAGCUGGGAACUCUAAGGAGACUGCCGGUGACAAGCCGGAGGAAGGUGGGGAUGACGUCAAGUCCUCAUGGCCCUUACGGGUAGGGCAACACACGUGUUACAAUGGCCGGUACAGAGGGAAGCGAAACUGCAAAGUGGAGCGAAUCCUUUAAAAGCCGGUCGUAGUCCGGAUUGGAGUCUGCAACUCGACUCCAUGAAGUUGGAAUCGCUAGUAAUCGCGGAUCAGAACGCCGCGGUGAAUACGUUCCCGGGCCUUGUACACACCGACGCAC
RNAcentral lists this ribosomal RNA (442 nucleotides) under uncultured bacterium. RNAcentral describes it as "bacterial SSU rRNA". It matches the Rfam family "Bacterial small subunit ribosomal RNA", at positions 958 to 1398 of the family's 1533-position model. The record is from RNAcentral.